CGUCACUGGGAAGGCAGGUCUGGGUCAGCUAGGGAGAAUAGGCUUCCCAGAAGUGCGGUUCACAUUUCUCUGCCUCAGGCCAGAGGCUGCUCUGUAAUCAUUCACCAGCCUGGCCCUGACGGAGAACAGCAGAAGCGUGAGCAAGCUUAAAUGCUGCAAGACACCCAAAUUUAGACAUGGGUUAAGAGUUUGGCUAAACGCAGGAGGUGGAAGGUGGCCAGGGCCUGGGGGAAGGGAAAGACUGCAUUCUCCACUGCCUGACAAUGACAUCCUGGGGUUAUGCAUCCCAGCCAGCCUGCUUCUCAGGUUGAGAGCACAGACAACACACUUCCUUUCUGGACAGUGAGCUCUGGGAUCCAGGAAAGGGGAACAUACCCAGAAGAGCCAGGCAGCAGCUAACAGGAGGACUAUGGAUGCCCUCCCCCCACAGUGAGGUUGAGGAAAGAUCCAGACAGGUCCCUGGGGCCGGUAACUACCAGCUGUGCUUCUGUGCAGGCUGCUUUCCAGGCUGCCCACCCUGGGUCUCUGUCCAAAGAUGCACCAAGUCCUACACUGGGCACUGUGUGCUCCCAACACACCUACGUGUGCCAUGCUUGCCUCAAGCCUUCAGAUGUCCCAGGGACUCCAGAGUGUGCACACGCUUGUGAGCCCAUGUGCAUACUUGAUGACUGGUGACACCAAAAAGGGAUUUUCACUGGAUGGCCAGGGGCAGACUGAUGCUCUAAUCUCCUGGGUCAGGGUGCCUGGCAGGGUCUCCCCGGCGGUCCUACCUGCAAACACCGCGGAGCAGUAGGCAUCGCUGAUGUCGGAGUCCGGGGUGUGGAC
Molecule: long non-coding RNA, 825 nt
Organism: Mus musculus (house mouse)
Lineage: Eukaryota; Metazoa; Chordata; Mammalia; Rodentia; Muridae
Product: predicted gene, 33024
Exons: 3
Source: RefSeq, a predicted model, not a curated record